GACGAACGCUGGCGGCGUGCCUAAUACAUGCCAGUAGAACGCACAGUUUAUACCGUAGCUUGCUACACCAUAGACUGUGAGUUGCGAACGGGUGAGUAACGCGUAGGUAACCUGCCUGGUAGCGGGGGAUAACUAUUGGAAACGAUAGCUAAUACCGCAUAAUAUUAAUUAUUGCAUGAUAAUUAAUUGAAAGGUGCAAUUGCACCACUACCAGAUGGACCUGCGUUGUAUUAGCUAGUAGGUGAGGUAACGGCUCACCUAGGCGACGAUACAUAGCCGACCUGGGAGGGGGAUCGGCCACACUGGGACUGAGGCACGGCCCAGAACCCUACGGGAGGCAGCAGUAGGGAAUCUUCGGCAAUGGACGAAAGUCUGACCGAGCAACGCCGCGGGAGUGAAGAAGGUUUUCGGAUCGUAAAGCUCUGUUGUAAGAGAAGAACGGGUGUGAGAGUGGAAAGUUCACACUGUGACGGUAUCUUACCAGAAAGGGACGGCUAACUACGUG
Molecule: ribosomal RNA, 505 nt
Filed under: uncultured bacterium
Lineage: Bacteria
Description: partial 16S ribosomal RNA
Rfam family: Bacterial small subunit ribosomal RNA
Source: RNAcentral